UUAAGUUAUUAAGGGCGCACGGUGGAUGCCUUGGCACUAGAAGCCGAUGAAGGACGUUACUAACGACGAUAUGCUUUGGGGAGCUGUAAGUAAGCUUUGAUCCAGAGAUUUCCGAAUGGGGAAACCCAGCAUGAGUUAUGUCAUGUUAUCGAUAUGUGAAUACAUAGCAUAUCAGAAGGCACACCCGGAGAACUGAAACAUCUUAGUACCCGGAGGAAGAAAAAGAAAAUUCGAUUCCCUUAGUAGCGGCGAGCGAAACGGGAAGAGCCCAAACCAACAAGCUUGCUUGUUGGGGUUGUAGGACACUCUAUACGGAGUUACAAAGGACGACAUUAGACGAAUCAUCUGGAAAGAUGAAUCAAAGAAGGUAAUAAUCCUGUAGUCGAAAAUGUUGUCUCUCUUGAGUGGAUCCUGAGUACGACGGAACACGUGAAAUUCCGUCGGAAUCUGGGAGGACCAUCUCCUAAGGCUAAAUACUCUCUAGUGACCGAUAGUGAACCAGUACCGUGAGGGAAAGGUGAAAAGCACCCCGGAAGGGGAGUGAAAUAGAACCUGAAACCGUGUGCUUACAAGUAGUCAGAGCCCGUUAAUGGGUGAUGGCGUGCCUUUUGUAGAAUGAACCGGCGAGUUACGAUUUGAUGCAAGGUUAAGCAGUAAAUGUGGAGCCGUAGCGAAAGCGAGUCUGAAUAGGGCGUUUAGUAUUUGGUCGUAGACCCGAAACCAGGUGAUCUACCCUUGGUCAGGUUGAAGUUCAGGUAACACUGAAUGGAGGACCGAACCGACUUACGUUGAAAAGUGAGCGGAUGAACUGAGGGUAGCGGAGAAAUUCCAAUCGAACCUGGAGAUAGCUGGUUCUCUCCGAAAUAGCUUUAGGGCUAGCCUCAAGUGAUGAUUAUUGGAGGUAGAGCACUGUUUGGACGAGGGGCCCCUCUCGGGUUACCGAAUUCAGACAAACUCCGAAUGCCAAUUAAUUUAACUUGGGAGUCAGAACAUGGGUGAUAAGGUCCGUGUUCGAAAGGGAAACAGCCCAGACCACCAGCUAAGGUCCCAAAAUAUAUGUUAAGUGGAAAAGGAUGUGGCGUUGCCCAGACAACUAGGAUGUUGGCUUAGAAGCAGCCAUCAUUUAAAGAGUGCGUAAUAGCUCACUAGUCGAGUGACACUGCGCCGAAAAUGUACCGGGGCUAAACAUAUUACCGAAGCUGUGGAUUGUCCUUUGGACAAUGGUAGGAGAGCGUUCUAAGGGCGUUGAAGCAUGAUCGUAAGGACAUGUGGAGCGCUUAGAAGUGAGAAUGCCGGUGUGAGUAGCGAAAGACGGGUGAGAAUCCCGUCCACCGAUUGACUAAGGUUUCCAGAGGAAGGCUCGUCCGCUCUGGGUUAGUCGGGUCCUAAGCUGAGGCCGACAGGCGUAGGCGAUGGAUAACAGGUUGAUAUUCCUGUACCACCUAUAAUCGUUUUAAUCGAUGGGGGGACGCAGUAGGAUAGGCGAAGCGUGCGAUUGGAUUGCACGUCUAAGCAGUAAGGCUGAGUAUUAGGCAAAUCCGGUACUCGUUAAGGCUGAGCUGUGAUGGGGAGAAGACAUUGAGUCUUCGAGUCGUUGAUUUCACACUGCCGAGAAAAGCCUCUAGAUAGAAAUAGGUGCCCGUACCGCAAACCGACACAGGUAGUCAAGAUGAGAAUUCUAAGGUGAGCGAGCGAACUCUCGUUAAGGAACUCGGCAAAAUGACCCCGUAACUUCGGGAGAAGGGGUGCUCUUUAGGGUUAACGCCCAGAAGAGCCGCAGUGAAUAGGCCCAAGCGACUGUUUAUCAAAAACACAGGUCUCUGCUAAACCGUAAGGUGAUGUAUAGGGGCUGACGCCUGCCCGGUGCUGGAAGGUUAAGAGGAGUGGUUAGCUUCUGCGAAGCUACGAAUCGAAGCCCCAGUAAACGGCGGCCCGUAACUAUAACGGUCCUAAGGUAGCGAAAUUCCUUGUCGGGUAAGUUCCGACCCGCACGAAAGGCGUAACGAUUUGGGCACUGUCUCAACGAGAGACUCGGUGAAAUCAUAGUACCUGUGAAGAUGCAGGUUACCCCGCGACAGGACGGAAAGACCCCGUGGAGCUUUACUGUAGCCUGAUAUUGAAAAUUCGGCACAGCUUGUUACAGGAUAGGUAGGAGCCUUUGAAACGUGAGCGCUAGCUUACGUGGAGGCGCUGGUGGGAUACUACCCUAGCUGUGUUGGCUUUCUAACCCGCACCACUUAUCGUGGUGGGAGACCAGUGUCAGGCGGGCAGUUUGACUGGGGCGGUCGCCUCCUAAAAAGGUAACGGAGGCGCUCAAAAGGUUCCCUCAGAAUGGUUGGAAAUCAUUCAUAGAGUGUAAAGGCAUAAGGGAGGCUUGACUGCGAGACCUACAAGUCGAGCAGGGUCGAAAGACGGACUUAGUGAUCCGGUGGUUCCGCAUGGAAGGGCCAUCGCUCAAACGGAUAAAAGCUACCCCGGGGAUAAACAGGCUUAUCUCCCCCAAGAGUUCACAUCGACGGGGAGGUUUGGGCACCUCGAUGUCGGCUCAUCGCAUCCUGGGGCUGUAGUCGGUCCCAAGGGUUGGGCUGUUUCGCCCAUUAAAGCGGUACGCGAGCUGGGUUCAGAACGUCGUGAGACAGUUCGGUCCCUAUCCGUCGUGGGCGUAGGAAAUUUGAGAGGAGCUGUCCUUAGUACGAGAGGACCGGGAUGGACAUACCUCUGGUGUACCAGUUGUCGUGCCAACGGCAUAGCUGGGUAGCUAUGUGUGGACGGGAUAAGUGCUGAAAGCAUCUAAGCAUGAAGCCCCCCUCAAGAUGAGAUUUCCCAACUUCGGUUAUAAGAUCCCUCAAAGAUGAUGAGGUUAAUAGGUUCGAGGUGGAAGCAAUGGUGACAUGUGGAGCUGACGAAUACUAAUCGAUCGAAGACUUAAUCAA
This 2933-nucleotide ribosomal RNA is filed under the name Staphylococcus aureus. RNAcentral's name for it is "bacterial LSU rRNA". It matches the Rfam family "Bacterial large subunit ribosomal RNA". Lineage: Bacteria; Bacillati; Bacillota; Bacilli; Caryophanales; Staphylococcaceae. The record is from RNAcentral.